AUUUGGGGUUCUCUGCUUGAAUGUCUUCUCCUUUACCACCUCACCUUGUUGGUACCUCCCUCCCUGGAUCUCUGAGCCAGCAGCCAGGAGGACCUGACCCAGCAGUUCUUUACUGGCCCCUUUGUAGGGCCUUGCUGCCAGGGGGCAGGGAUGCUUUCCAGCCUGCAGCAACAGAACACUUGACCUUAAAAGUCUCUUCUGGUCUUUGGAUUAGAAAAGGCUUAUGUUAGCAUAGCUUAAGAGCAACCUCAGAGAUUUGAGCCCUACUAAGUGACUGACCACUGUUUAGAGUGUCUGGUAUCUGAUGUUCAUUUAUUCCCAUGUUCUUGUGUGUCACAGUUCAGCCAGUUUUGGUUUAUGCCUAGAGCUACUUCAAGGAACUAGACUAAUUAGCUAUAUAGGCCCAGCGAUGCUUCUUAUUGAUCUUAAUAGUAUGCCCCUCCUUCCCCUGUCCUUUCAUUUCUCUAUCCAAGUAGCAGUCAGGUUCUUGGUGUGAUGGGACUGAAAGAAUUCCAGUCAGCCAGAGCCUUGGCAGCUCUGAAGCUAACCUUAGCAUCUAAGUGUCGAUCUUGAAUUCCCUGAAAAAAUUUCUAUAGGAAAUGAAGCUUCCCUGGUCCCCUCCUUUCUGGCCAUUGUCAUCCAUUUCCCAGUUAGGGCAACAAUGAAGGAGGACCCAGCCAAGCUAGAAGGAAUUUUGUGGAUGGGAGACAGCAGGAUUAGCUUCAGCUUGGGCUGGAGCAGUCAAUAUAGGAUCUCAGGCCAGGCCCGCUUUUCUAGAAUGUGUUUAAUUUUGAGUUUGCUUUAUUAGAUAUGUUUUUUAAGAGCUCUGUAUAUUUGAACUGCUCCUUAUGUGACAAAAUAGGUAGCUCUUGGGCUCAUGUCCUGGGUUUUGGCUCUUUAAUGAUUACUCCAGGCCAGCAUUUAGUCGUUUGAGAAUUGUAGCCUGUUGUUUUCGCUGUGACUUGGGUCUCAGUGCUAGGGUAUUGAGUCAGGCAGCUGGAGGGUUGUGGCCCGAGGCUGCAGUCAGAGGUAUACUUCCCAUAGUGCUUCACACAGCUCCCCUGCUUCUAAAGGAUAAGGUACUGUAGCCUUGGUCCUGGGGACCACCUGCCUGGGGCAGUGGACAUCCUAACUAAACAGAAGUGUGGCCUGAGUUGAAUUUCUGGGAGGAUGACGCAGAUGUCUGCUGCAGAGCUGGGCUGAGAGUUCUGCAGUCUAGCUCUGACUUAGGUCAGGGGCCUGUUGGUCUCUCAUUGGACGUUUUUGGGUCUCACUCAUGCUUACUGAAACAUUGUGCCAAGAAACUCUGUGGGAUUUGUGUCCCUUAAACCAGACUCACUUUUCUGAAAAAUCUCCAUUGUUGAGGAGAGGCUGCUCAAUCGACACCCCGAGUUCUCAUGACUGGGAAGAUAGUUUUCUUCAGGUGUCAAUGGCGUUAGACUCCCAGGAAGACUAGCCCUGCCCACAGGGCCACCUGUUGGUUUGAGAGCGUGUUCGUGUUCUCUUGCCCUCCCUGCCUAAGAGCUACUGGGAUCACGUUAGCGGGCAUUUAGGCUUUGAUGAGAGGGCACAGUUUGAGUUAGGUUUACCUCCCCCUUUCUGUGCCUGGGAACUGUUUGGUCCAGCUUUAGAACUGUGGUUUUGACUUCCUUAUCUCUUGGGAGAAGCUUCUGUUUUAAGGAAUUUCUCUUCCUUCUUCUCCUGCCUCUAGCCUCUCCUGGAAAGGCCUGGAUAUGGUUUCUAAAAUCUCAGCUGAGAACUUCAGAAAACAGCAGCAGUAUUUUCCUUUUCCUAGUGCUAAAAUCCCUUUCCCUAGAAAUUGGCUCACCUUGGGAAACCCAGGGAAAGAAUCAGCAGGUUCUCUGCCCUCCCUAGGGGUUGGGGAAGGACCCACCCCGGUCAGCACAGUGCCUUUUCCUCUCCUGCUCUGAGCCAGGGUGGGGCAUUCCCUCUAGAUUCAGGUUUGGGCAGGGGUCCUAUAGUCCCUGCCAUGGGGCUGCUUCCCUGUCCCUUCCCUCCCCUUUGCUGGCCUACUCUGGCAUAAUUCAAGUGUCUUCUUGCCUUGGGGAUCCUUAGUGGCAUCAAAUGGCAACAUGGAAUAUUGUCCUCCAUGCCCCUCCAGAAGGACCUAGGAGAGUAGGUGAGCUUUCCAAAGUGAGAGACGAAUCUUUCUUUCUUUUUUUUUUUAAAGGGCAGGAUGGGUAUGCUUUGGGCUUUCUCCUUCUGUGGCCCCGGAGGAAGGAGAGACUGAGGCAAGGCAAAGUGAUAGUACACGGAAGCAGAACCGGAAACACCCAGGAACUGUUCAGAAAUCUCAGAAGAAAUCUGCUUCUCUUCGAUGGAAAGAUAUAAUUAACGAUCAAAGAGCUCUAAGAAAAUUGCAAAGAAGCCUUAAUGUUCAAGCUUUAGAAAGAUCAGAGCAAUUUUUCUCUUUCAGUCCAAACUAAGACUCUCUGUAUUUAAAUCUCUCUGGGGCAAGAGGGCUAGAUUUCCUCAUUUUGUUAUGAGACUAGAUUGGUACCAGUAGAUCAGCUGCCUAGCGAGGGCAGGUUUCUUCUUUGCAUCUGUGUGGCUUGCUUCCAGUCUGGCCUGUCCUUUCCAGCUGCCUUUUGUCUAGCCUGCUAUGGGGGGCCAGAUUAUCUUGAUAAGAGCAGGUGAUUUGGGGACUAGCUGGGUUGGCAGGAAAAGAGCAGGAUGGAUCUCUUGGGACAGGUUCCCCCAGGAGUAUAAACACAAGGAGCCAGGAUUGUGCUGGCAGCCAAGGAAACAGUAGUGCCUGUUUGAGUUGGCAGAGAGGGCCUUGGCACCUCUUGCAUCCAGGCAGUCUUGUGAGAUGGGGGCACAUAGCACUGGGGAAAGCAGAACUCCAUUCUCACCUCUAUUUUGAGCUUCAGUGCUUUAUUUCAGUAUGAGGAAAAACAACAACAAACUGAAGUGCGCUUUCCGUCCUUUCAAAGGACAACUGUCGGGAAGGGAGAGCCGAGUUGCGAGGUAGGAGGGGAGCACUGGCAGGGAGAGACAUUCUUGACUCCUCUCUUCCCUGGUGUGUUGUGAUCCAGGGAAUGAAAAGAAAUUUGACCCUGGAUUGGUUCUCUCCUUGGACUUAAGGAAUCUUACCUUUUCCUUCCACAAAGUUCUCCCAGGCAAGGACCAGCUGCCCAUUCUGAGCCCAGGGCAGCCUCUUCAACCAUUAUUGGUCUAACCUGGCUUGUCAGGAAACCAAGCCCACCCUUCCACAUUGGGCCUGGCUGCUCUAUUCUGUACCAAGUACUGGAGAAAAAGCAUCAAGUUCUUAGCCCUUGUAGCUUCUACCCUAGUUUCCCAUCCUCUCUCUGUGGAGGCCAAACCAACUCUUUGCCAGCAGCCACAACAUGCAUUGACAGCGGCACAGUGAGAUAUAACUGAUGGGCUUUGAACCUGGUUGGCCGGGGAAGCUGUAGGGGUGGAUAGAGCUGGCUUUCCUUCUGGGCUGUCUCCAUCUGACCCUACCCCUUCCAUGUCCCACCCCACUCCCACCAAAAAGUACAAAAUCAGGAUGUUUUUCACUGUCCAUUGCUUUGUGUUUUAAUAAACAAUUUGCAGUGACACUCUGUGUUGGGACUGAGUUCGAACUUGAUCUCAAAGCGCUGAAGUGAUGGGGUGGGAAAAAGGAGACCCAGGGGUUCACUUGGCUCCAAAGAGUUCUCCUGUGACGAGGCUGGGAACUGUUGUCCAUUUAGCUGUGUGUCUUUUGCUUUUCUUCUCUCUGGGAUGUUUGCUUAGGGGAAUCAUUCUGUAAAACCCUUCCUGGUCAUUUCAACUAGCAGCGCAUUUAAGGACAAAAAAUUUGUUUUCACUUUCACUGGAACAACUAGGCACAGACUGUCCCACUCUUAAGGCACACUGGGCCUAUUGCUGCCUCUCCUCACCAUUCCCUUAGCCUCUGUGAUAGCCCACGGACAAGCUAAGCUAACCUAAGCCAUAGGAGAUUUUUCUCUGCUUGCUCCUUUUCUGGUGUUUUGUCAUUGUUGAUUACACAUUAGGAAGAGCAGAAUGCAGGAGGGAUUUUUUUUCCUAUAAUUUAUAAGCCACGGUUCAAAUUCAGUCUGUUUGCCAUCAAAGCCCCAAGCUCUUUAAAGCUGUAAAGAUAAUUACAGCUGUCCAUUACUGAGUCCUUGAAAUGGGCUGGGCACAAUGCCCAGCAUUUUCCACAUGUUAUCUCUCUUUUAUCUUCAACAAACCAGUUGCUAUUCCCCUUUAAGAGAUGAAGUGACUUGCACAAGGUAGCACAACCAACAAAAGGCGGAGCUGGGGUUUUAAACCAGGACUCCUGCUCUCCAUCAUUACCCUCUGCUGCCAUCCAUUUCUUCAUGGUGCUGGGUGGCAUGGCUCCAGAGCCUACCUGCGGGAUUUCUCCGAGUGGGAAUGGAGACUGCUGGCUUGCAGGGGUAGGGAGGGGUGGAGGUGGAGGAACAGGAGUUUGGCCUACCUCCCUCAGUUAUCCCUUGAAGGGCAGAAUUCAGUGUGCAGCCCCAAGAGUGAGGCCAUUGUUGAUGGAGUCUGUUCUCAGGGCCCAAACAAGCCAGGAGGCCCACAGAGCCUCUUUCUUAGGCUGAGCCCACCCAUAACUGGAGUUCUUUCCUAAUUCAGAUUUCGUUGUUACUAUUUCAAGUAGCUUUGCAUGAGCUGCCAAAUGGGGAAGAGACCUGAAGAACUCCUGCUCUAGGGAGUUACAGGGAGGGAAAUUGUCUGACAGAAGAUCUUGGGCCAAGUACCGGGGUUGGGUUGGACCACUCUGUGGGUCCAGAUCUUAAUCUUACUAAGGAAAUCAGGCUCCCGGUUGGCUGGAGCCGGUGAGACCUUUCUCCAUACUUAGUACCCCCCAUCCCCCAUAAAGGAAGAGAGAUGAGUUUUUCUAGUACUUACUGGAAAGCUCAUUGCUAUCGCAGUGGUGAGGGGUCAAGGCAGAAAGGAGGCGGAGCAUGGAGGUCCUGGAGCGGGCUUGCCUCUGCUCUCCAACAACCUAAGGCCACAAGCACCUCGCUGCAGCACCCUGGCCCAAGAGUCUCAGUUUUGUUUGUUCCUAACCACUUAACAUUAGUACGAAAUAACUCCACUUGCUUUGUCACUGCACUCUCUCACCUGGAUCCAUGGCUUCUCCCUGCCCCAUGCGCCUGCCCUGUGUGCCUGCCCUCAACAGAGGGGGCGUGGAGAAAGAGGCCACUUGUGUAUAUUGUCAUAGUGACCAUUCAUGGGACACUCUUCCUGGCACCAGUACAGUGCUUUUUCUUGCCGUUUUGUGUCUCUUCAUAACAAUCCUAGGAAAGACCUGUGACUAGCCUGACUUAUAAAUGAAGGCACAAAGGCCUCAGGAGAGAAACGACCUGGCCAGAGUCACAUAGCUGGUAAUUGGCAGAGCAAAGACUGGAACCCAAUGCUGUUUGACCCCAAAAUCUGUGCUUUUAGUGCCAUGAUAUACUAGUUUUAAAGAGGAACCUUUGAGUAUUGAUAACUGAUGAAUCUAUGAUUACAUGGAGGUUUUAUUAUUUCUCUGAAAAAGUAACUUUUAAGACUUGGUGAUAUAAAGAUCUAUAAAUAUAUACAGAAAUAAAUUCUUAAAAAAGUGUUAGGAGUGCAAAAUGUGAAAAAUCAUUUUCUUUUCUUUUUCUUUUUUUUUUUCCUCUUUUUGAGGCCGGGUUUUGCUCUGUCACCCAGGCUGGUGUGCAGUGGCAAGAUCUUGGCUCACUGCAGCCUUGACCUCCCAGGCUCAAGCGAUCCUCCCACCUCAGCCUCCUGAGUAGCUGGGACUACUACAGUGUGCAGCCACCACACCCAGCUAAUUUUUAUACUUUUUGUAAAGACAGGAUUUUGCCAUGUUGCCCAGGCUGGUCUCAAACUCUUGGACUCAAGUGAUCCGCCCACCUCGGCCUCCCAAAGUGCUGGGAUCAGAGGUGUGAGCCACCAUACCUGGCCUGAAAAAUCAUUUUCUUCCCUAUCCCUCUAAUCCCUAAAGGAUAAUACAGAGGACAUUCUGGUGUGUAUCUUUCAUUUUAAAUGUAUUUACAUAUAUAUAUGUGUAUAUAUGUAUUUAUAUAUAUGUAAUAUAUAUGUAAAUGUAUUUACAUAUAUGUGUGUAAAUGUAUUUACAUAUAUAUGUAUUUACAUAUAUAUAUAUAUACACACACACACACACACAGAGUCUUUUUAAACAAGUGGGAAUAUACCAUACAUAUCAUUCUGUGCCAUUUUUACUUAAUAUGUCUUAGAGAGGUAGUUCAUAUAGAUGGGUCAGUACAUAGAGAUUUUCCUCACUCAAGGGCUGUACAGUAUCUUAUGGUUAGAUUGUAAUUGAUUUUACCAAUCCCCUGUAGAUGAACAUUAAGAUACUGCUCAUUUUUUGCCAGUACAAACUGCUGCAGUGAACAUGCUUAUGCAUAUAUCUUUGUGCGUAUGUGCAGGUGUUUCUUUAGGGAAUUCCUUUAAGGAAUUACUGGAUCAAACAAUAUAUGCAUUUAAAAAUUUGAAAGUACUGUCCUCCAUGAGGCUAUAUGAAUUUUUACUCACCAAUCUUGUGCUGUGACUUUGGAAUAUGCCAGAAAUCUCUUUUGGAAACAGGUAGGAUAUAAAUAAUAAAUAAUGCUUUUUAAAAACAGCCCUCUGGCUAAGCGCAGUAGCUCACACCUGUAAUCCCAGCACUUUGGAAGGCUGAGGCAAGUGGAUCACCUGAGGUCAGGAGUUCGAGAUCAGCCUGGCCAACAAAGUGAAACCUCGUCUCUACUAAGAAUAUAAAAUUAGCCAGGCGUGGUGGUGGGCACCUGUAAUCCCAGCUACUUGGGAGGCUGAGGCUGGAGAAUCACUUGAACAUGGGAGGCAGAGGUUGCAGUGAGCCAAGAUCAUGCCGUUGCACUCCACCCUGGCAACAGAGCAAGACUCCUUCUUAAAAACAAACAAACAAACAAACAAACAAACAGCCCUCAGCCAGAUAGUAGAGUGACUUGGUACUAAGGAAAUUACUAGCUCUUAGUCCCAGACCACAAGCCAUGCCUGCAAUCCCAGCCAUGAUUUGCUAAUUCAGUGCAUGCCAUCUGGGGAGGCAGCAGAAAGCAGGACUGAACUUUCAGUCUUGGCAGAAAAAUGCCAGCUGAUGAUGUCUUGCUUACCUUGGUUACACCAGCUCUGGGCCCCACCUGCCUGGCCUGAUUUGAAGGCAGACUGCCUGGCUACUCUGGGACUGCCCUGGAAAACAGCCACUCUCACACCUCUUACAGGGAGGAAAACAGCCAGCGGGAGAGAGUCAGCCCUGAGCUGGGGGGAAAGGAAGGCUGGCCCUCUGCUUUUGGUGUCAGGAUUACUAUUUAAUGCAGUAGUCCUCUAUUUUCCUUCUUCCCCCAAAUAAAGUGUUAGUAUAUGUAAUUUUCAAAAGACAUUUUAAAAGAGCCUUUCCCCACACCUCAAAAAAUUUGAUGUGGAAAGGCAGAUUGGCGGUUACACCCCUAAUUUUUCCUACCCCUUUAAAAAAUGAAAUUAUAUAUAUUUCCUUCCCUUUCCCUUUCCUUCAUUUCCUUCUUUCUUUUCUCGUUUCCUUCCUUUCCCCCCGUCCUUUCUUACAGUCUCACUCUCACCCCUCGAACUUCUGGCCUCAAGCAAUCCUCUGGCUUUGGCCUCCCAAAGUGUUGGUAUUACACGCAUGAGCCACUGUGCCCAGCCAGUCUAUUCCUUUUAACCAAAAUUCAUAGGUAGUGCCCAGAGAGAGUACAAGCUCUGACUCAUAUGGCAGUAUUUACUUAAAAAAAAAAAAAAAUGCCAGGCAUGGUGGCUCACGCCUGUAAUCCCAGCACUUUGGGAGGCUGAGGCAGGCGGAUCGCCUGAGGUCAGUUCAAGGCCAGCCUGACCAACAUGGUGAAACCCCAUCUCUACUAAAAAUACAAAAAUUAGCUAGGUAUGGUGGUGGGCACCUGUAAUCCCAGCUACUUGGGAGGCUGAGGCAGGAGAAUCGCUUGAACCUGGGAGGCGGAGGUUGCAGUGAGCCAAGAUUGUGCCACUGUACUCCAGCCUGGGCGACAGAAUGAGACUCUGUCUCAAAAAAAAGAAUAAUAAAAAUAAAAAAUAAAGUAAAAUAAAAAAACAGGCCAGGCACA
This 8117-nucleotide long non-coding RNA is filed under the name Homo sapiens (human). RNAcentral describes it as "HSALNT0370975". The record is from RNAcentral. Lineage: Eukaryota; Metazoa; Chordata; Mammalia; Primates; Hominidae.